This 109-nucleotide ribosomal RNA is filed under the name Myotis brandtii (Brandt's bat). Lineage: Eukaryota; Metazoa; Chordata; Mammalia; Chiroptera; Vespertilionidae. The record is from RNAcentral.
GUCUACGGCCAUACCACCCUGAAGGCGCCCGAUCUCGUCUGAUCUCGGAAGCUAAGCAGGGUCGGGCCUGGUUAGUACUUGGAUGGGAGAAAUAAGAUAGUUUUAUGUA